UUUUUGUUACUAGUUUGUAAUAAUUAACUUACUUUUGUAAAAAAAGACAUGAGAUUAUUUUUUUAAAUCUAUAUAAAGUUGACAAUACAAAUCGAUAUUGAGAAUAUUAAGAUGUAUAUGAAUUUUAUAAAUUAAAUGCAAUACAUUAAUAUAAAUAUCAAUUGUUGCAAAAUACGAUUUGUUCAAUGAUUUGAUAAUAUUAUUCUUUAUAUUUGUGAAUGGUUAAGUUUGUCUUUGAACAUAUUAUAAAAGUGUAAUGUUCCCCUGAAAAGAAUAAGUUGUCAUCUAAUUACAGGAAAUCCGCAUAAAUUAGAUGAAAUGGAAAGUAAUAAGUAAUAAUUUAUUGAUAAGCGCCUAUGUGAUGGUAAAUCAUGACAUAGGCGCUUUUUU
Staphylococcus aureus subsp. aureus NCTC 8325 is the source of this 390-nucleotide regulatory RNA element. It matches the Rfam family "icaR 3'UTR". From Rfam's summary of the family: The 3'UTR of icaR mRNA (repressor of the main expolysaccharidic compound of the bacteria biofilm matrix) binding to the 5' UTR can interfere with the translation initiation complex and generate a double stranded substrate for RNaseIII. Mozos at al. showed that the interaction was between UCCCCUG motif in the 3'UTR and the Shine-Dalagarno region at the 5'UTR. NCBI's taxonomy places the organism in Bacteria, Bacillati, Bacillota, Bacilli, Caryophanales, Staphylococcaceae. The record is from Rfam.